RNAcentral lists this ribosomal RNA (467 nucleotides) under uncultured bacterium. Its description in RNAcentral is "partial 16S ribosomal RNA". It matches the Rfam family "Bacterial small subunit ribosomal RNA", at positions 28 to 507 of the family's 1533-position model. The record is from RNAcentral.
GACGAACGCUGGCGGCGUGCUUAACACAUGCAAGUCGAACGGAAAGGCCCUGCUUUUGUGGGGUGCUCGAGUGGCGAACGGGUGAGUAACACGUGAGUAACCUGCCCUUGACUUUGGGAUAACUUCAGGAAACUGGGGCUAAUACCGGAUAGGAGCUCCUGCUGCAUGGUGGGGGUUGGAAAGUUUCGGCGGUUGGGGAUGGACUCGCGGCUUAUCAGCUUGUUGGUGGGGUAGUGGCUUACCAAGGCUUUGACGGGUAGCCGGCCUGAGAGGGUGACCGGCCACAUUGGGACUGAGAUACGGCCCAGACGCCUACGGGAGGCAGCAGUGGGGAAUAUUGCACGAUGGGCGGAAGCCUGAUGCAGCAACGCCGCGUGCGGGAUGACGGCCUUCGGGUUGUAAACCGCUUUCGCCUGUGACGAGCGUGAGUGACGGUAAUGGGUAAAGAAGCACCGGCUAACUACGUG